Brienomyrus brachyistius is the source of this 833-nucleotide long non-coding RNA. RefSeq lists it as uncharacterized. The transcript has 2 exons. The record is from RefSeq and is a predicted model, not a curated record. Lineage: Eukaryota; Metazoa; Chordata; Actinopteri; Osteoglossiformes; Mormyridae.
CCUGCUGGCUCCGCACCACACCUGGACCACAUCACUCCAGGCUCUCCCGACUAAGGACAGAGACCUACAGCAGAUUCCUAAGUGUGUCCGGUGACGGCAACCAACUUUUGAUGAGCAUCACUACGACGCUGUCAGGUUUCUGCAAGAAAAUUACAGCAGAGGGCGCACUAACACCAGGUCAGCUUAUAGCACGGUAAAAGGUGGACAUGAGGUUCCUUAAUUCCAGUGAACAGACAUGCACGUGUCUUCUUCCCCAGCUCAUGUGUUGCUACGUGUCUCAGCAGGGACCCCUUGUGUUCCCCCAGCCUAUAACACCAGGAUUCGCUGGCUUUCAGCUGGAUAUACAUGUGUGCAAUCUGGCAUGGGCUAGUCAUGCAAAAUCUCGAUGGAAACCAACUCAGGUGUCUGGGUGCCCAGAGUAAUUAUUUGGAUCACAUCAAAUCUGACAUAAUGGGGUUUAGAAUGAAAUGUGUAAGGGUUAUUGAUUUACUCUUUAAUUUUUAUUCUACAGCCAUAUACUGUACAACUAAAUGCCUGCAGUCUUAAGUCUUACAUAGAUUCGUCGUUUGUUUUCCGAUUACAUUUUUAUCAGCAAGUUUGGAAAUGUGGGCAGUUCACCUUUGCAGACACAACUCACUCACUGUAUAGGGUUUUCUGUUAUUGUAGGAGUGGGAUAGCUGAACACACCAGCCUUAAAAAUCCGAAUGCCUUCUUGUUUACGUACCAAUCACAUCCAGCUCAAUAGCAACACAUUAUCUUGCGAUUUGAAUGUGCCAUUCAUAUGUGUUUUGUCCACUUCAUAUACUGUGAAAUUAAAAUCAUAAUUACAUCAA